Molecule: long non-coding RNA, 253 nt
Filed under: Medicago truncatula (barrel medic)
Lineage: Eukaryota; Viridiplantae; Streptophyta; Magnoliopsida; Fabales; Fabaceae
Description: long non-coding RNA (MTRU_LNC001190)
Source: RNAcentral
UCCACUCCUCUUCUUCUCCCCAGCGAUCCUCUUCUUCUCUUCUCCCCCUUUACUUGCUUUCUGUUUUUCCAGCAACAAACACAACCCAGUAACAACACACAACACAAAUCUUCCAUAUCUAAUUCUCCAAUUCCAGAAGAAAUACAAUCUUCAAUUUUUAAAAAUCCCUAUAAUUUUCAAUUCUCCAAAUUUAUCAUAAUGAACAAAUGUAGAAUUUUAGGGUUUGAAAGAAAGAGCUUCUGAGAGAUUUGUU